RNAcentral lists this small RNA (2309 nucleotides) under Pan troglodytes (chimpanzee). RNAcentral describes it as "retained intron". Lineage: Eukaryota; Metazoa; Chordata; Mammalia; Primates; Hominidae. The record is from RNAcentral.
GUCACUCUUUGCAGCCCCAAAGUGGUUCUAAAGGCUACCACAGGAAACUGGACUUCUAAAUACUUCAGUGACCUCAAUCCCAGGUUGGGGGAAUGUUUUUUAUAGAUCAUCACCGACCGACCUGGCUUUCAUGAUGAGAGUGCCAUCUACCCCGUGGGCUAUUGCAGUACUCGAAUAUAUGCCAGCAUGAAGUGCCCAGACCAGAAGUGUCUAUAUACCUGUCAGAUCAAGGAUGGUGGUGUGCAGCCUCAGUUUGAAAUUGUUCCUGAAGAUGACCCCCAGAAUGCCAUUGUCAGCUCUUCCGCAGAUGCUUGUCAUGCAGAACUGCUCAGGACUAUAAGCGCUACUAUGUAAGUUGACCAAAAGCUUGAAAACAGGCUAAAAGAUCACUGUUGGUACAGUGAAACCUUUUCUCUUGCUUUUAAUGGGUGGAGAUACCUUAUUUUAUAGAAACCUAUCCUGGAUCCUCCUGACAUUGUGCCAACUAGAGCCUCCACAUUAUCAAAGUCAGGAAAGCUUAUCCUGUUUGUUCAUACCACUAUUCUGUUCUUAAACCCAUCUUCAUCUCCCGCUAAGCUCUCAAACUAAAAUUAUCCCUCUCCUGUUUAGGGGGAAACUAAUGCCUAACCUGCUUCCAGCUGGAGCUGACUUUUUUGGAUUUUCUCAUCCAGCCAUCCACAACCUGAUCCAGAGCUGUCCAGGAGCUCGAAAAUGCAUCAAGUAAGUGUGGUCAAAUUCAUUCCCUUGAGAAAAGCUCAGUGAUCAUCCGGCCAGGGACUGGCAGUUCCUACUUUGUUCACUGACCUUCUGUGUCCAAAGCCUGCCUGCUUCUCGACCAGUAGGGCUCAGUAUUGGCCCCCUUAGCCCGCUGGACAGGUAAGCAAGAGCCAGGACUCCACUGUUCGCUGAUUAUUACUAUUUUCUGUAUGUACCAUGACAGCAAAAGGGGUGGGAAAUCUAGCAGAAUAAUUUGUCACUAAAGAGGCCUGCUUAUUUCUUCUAGGUUUUUGUUAGCAAAUAUGUGUUUUAGAUAUAUAUGGGCUGAAUAUAAAGAAAAAUUACCUGAUCCCUUUAGUGAUAGGAAUGGGUACUUAUGUCUAGCAGAUAACUCUCAAGGGUGAUUUCCCUUGAUUCUGCAGUUACCAGUGGGUGAAAUUUGAUGUGUGCAAACCUGGAGAUGGGCAGCUACCUGAGGGGCUGCCGGAGAAUGAUGCAGCUAUGAGCUUUGAAGCCUUUCAGAGACAGAUCUUUGAUGAAGAUCAGAAUGAUCCCCUUCUGCCAGGUAUCUUUAACUUUACCUUUCUGGUUUGAAAAUUGACUGUGUUUAGGCUACCUUCCCAUCUUCACACAUAGCCGAGUACCCUAAAUAUCUAUGCAUUGAGUGAUAAAAGCUUUCAUUGAAUCAGCCUUGCGGAGUGCUGAGUCAGAGGGGGAACUGCGGCCUGCAUAGCUUCCUAGAUUACUCACAGAUGUCAUGGGGAGCACCUGCGAUCAUAGUAAGGCAGGGUACCCCAGAAACUAAGGUAUCUCAUUCUGUAACCUAAGCAAGACUGGAGCAGAACACCAGGGGAAAGUUUACUGUGCAGGGAAUAACAUUUCAAGUGAAGUCAGUGGGGUCAAGUCAAGGCCUUGGCCCUGCCUGUGUUCCAUGAGUUCCUCCCACAAAUGAGUGAUCAGGGGUUCAGGCUUUGGGGUCAUAUAGGGAAAACUCUGGGUUAAAAAAUGGAAUUGAAAUUCUCACUCUUUGCCUAAUAUACUAUAUAACCCUAGGCAAGUCACUUAAUGUUUCAACCAGUUUUCAUUGUAAAAGUAUCUGUCCUAUCUUAACAAAGGCAAAAUUGAGCUGACAAAUGCAAGGGUGUUAAGGAAUUGAUUGAAAGGACAUGUAUGUGUCUGACCAAAACAGUCUGCUCAGACUCCCAAGCAGCAGUGGAACUUAAGGAAUUGUUUUCUCCAGGAUCCUUGGACCUCCCAGAGCUUCACCCUGCAGCCUUUGUGUCUUCUUACCAGCCCAUGUACCUGACACAUGAACCCUUGGUAGAUACUCACCUGCAGCACUUGAAGUCUCCAUCACAGGGUAGCCCAAUUCAGUCUUCAGAUUGAACAAGAAGGGAUCAGAUGCCACAUCAUUUUUGUCGUGAUUAAUUUAACUUAAACUAAAAUUUUGGGUAUAUGGAAGAAGGCAGCAAUUGAGAAGUAAAGAAGAUAUUAACGUAUUUCAUCAUGGAGGGUCCUGUGGUGAUGGUUUUCCCUGGGAAAACCUUCAGCUGCUUUAUUUUUAGUAAUAAAUUUCUCUUUGUCAAUUCUGU